GCCUGGCUGGCUCAGUCGGUAGAGCAUGCGGCUCUUGAUCUCAAGGUAGUGAGUUCGGGCCCCACACUGGGCA
RNAcentral lists this transfer RNA (73 nucleotides) under Ailuropoda melanoleuca (giant panda). It matches the Rfam family "tRNA". Rfam says of the family: Transfer RNA (tRNA) molecules are approximately 80 nucleotides in length. The record is from Rfam by way of RNAcentral. Lineage: Eukaryota; Metazoa; Chordata; Mammalia; Carnivora; Ursidae.